Molecule: long non-coding RNA, 731 nt
Organism: Protopterus annectens (West African lungfish)
Lineage: Eukaryota; Metazoa; Chordata; Ceratodontiformes; Protopteridae
Exons: 3
Source: RefSeq, a predicted model, not a curated record
GCCAUAACUUGGUGCUUGAAUAUGUAGAAAGUCAAAUGGAGUGGCGAAGUUAUACCCUUUUCUAACCUUUAGUGUUGUAAUCCAUAAUCAGAAAGAAAAUGAAAAACUGGAAAAUACUAAAGUGGUGUUUAAUUUUGUUUUUAUUUAUGAAUGUAUGUAUGUAUUUGUGCUGCAAAAAAUGCACAUACAGAAGGCUAUGCUCUUAACAUGUACUGUUUCUUUAAGAUCCUCCCCACUUGCCACACAUACACAAGCCCUCUCUGAACAGGCAGUGCUUUCAGGCAGUUGACUUCCUGUACUGCGUUCAGCUCUGUCCGCUGAUGUAGUCCAGCUUUCUCUCUGUAUAACACCAGGACAUCAGGAAGUCGUUUAAAACUUGCAACCUGAAGAACGCCAUCACAACACAUACAGUUAAGCCAAAAAAGACAAAUGUGCCACCACUAGACAUGCUCACUUUUAAUAGGACUACUGUGGCUGUUAACUGGAAUACUAAUGCUGCCACCUAAUGGCUUUAGAGAAGAAAAGGCAUGUCAUAUCAGCACUUGAAGUCUUUGGUAUUUUGUCCUAUUUUAAAUGCCCAAAGAUGCUGUAAUGGACUCCAGUCUGGACCUGAGCUUUGAUCUAGACAAAGAACUUGAAAGAUUAGAUGCAGAAAUUCAGACUGUUCUUCAGGAGUGGGACAUGUCAUCAGAUGACGUAGGCAAUGAAGGUUAUGGCUGGCCCUCACGUUG